This 490-nucleotide ribosomal RNA is filed under the name uncultured bacterium. RNAcentral's name for it is "partial 16S ribosomal RNA". It matches the Rfam family "Bacterial small subunit ribosomal RNA", at positions 30 to 507 of the family's 1533-position model. The record is from RNAcentral.
AUUGAACGCUGGCGGCAGGCUUAACACAUGCAAGUCGAGCGGUAGCACAGGGGAGCUUGCUCCCUGGGUGACGAGCGGCGGACGGGUGAGUAAUGUCUGGGAAACUGCCUGAUGGAGGGGGAUAACUACUGGAAACGGUAGCUAAUACCGCAUAACGUCGCAAGACCAAAGAGGGGGACCUUCGGGCCUCUUGCCGUCAGAUGUGCCCAGAUGGGAUUAGCUAGUAGGUGGGGUAAUGGCUCACCUAGGCGACGAUCCCUAGCUGGUCUGAGAGGAUGACCAGCCACACUGGAACUGAGACACGGUCCAGACUCCUACGGGAGGCAGCAGUGGGGAAUAUUGCACAAUGGGCGCAAGCCUGAUGCAGCCAUGCCGCGUGUGUGAAGAAGGCCUUCGGGUCGUAAAGCACUUUCAGCGAGGAGGAAGGUGGUGAGCUUAAUACGUUCAUCAAUUGACGGUACUCGCAGAAGAAGCACCGGCUAACUCCGUG